Molecule: unclassified non-coding RNA, 254 nt
Filed under: uncultured Russula
Lineage: Eukaryota; Fungi; Basidiomycota; Agaricomycetes; Russulales; Russulaceae
Description: sequence contains ITS2
Source: RNAcentral
AAUCAUCAAAAACCAUUUCUUUUAUAGAAAAGGUUUUUGGACUUGGAGGUUUGAUGCUUGCUUUUGUCUUUAAAAGCAAGCUCCUCUCAAAUGAAUUAGUGGGGUCUGCUUUGCUGAUCCUUGACGUGAUAAGAUGUUUCUACGUUUUGGACUUGGCAUCGUGCUGCCUGCUUCUAACUGUCUUACGGACAAAUGAUGGUGCUCCGGUCACCUGCCAAUCCACAUUGGUGGGAGGCUGGACCCACAAAAAGAAC